GGUGAUCUCAGAGUAUUUAGGAAUGUGUCAACCAUCUCAUUAUCACUCAUAAUAGACUUUCCUUGAACAACAUUCUUUCCACCUUUGGGUAUACUCUUUGAAUGAUUUUGACUGCUUUUUCACCAUACUUUGUAGUUGUAAUCCAUGAGAUGUCACAUUCGUGUUAUAUUCGAAAUGCUUCAAGAAAACAUCCAUCAGAUCCUCCUAAUACUGGAUGCACUAAGGUUCAAGAUGAUGGCCUCAAUUAAUGCCAUGUCAGACAAUCUACCUUGGAAGAAAUGAAUUAGCAACUUUUCAUCAUAUGCACACACAGUCGUUUUCUUGUCAUACGCCAUGAGAUGAGUCUUAAGGCAAAUGGUCCCUCUAUAUUUCUCACCUUUGGAAAAUUUAAACUUUUGAAUGUAUCAUCAGAUCUGGGACUAAGCAAGCCUUGCAACCUUUUCAGACCUAGCGCUUCAUUCACCUUCUAUGGUUGUCAUCCUUUUUCAGCAUUUCAGAUUUACCCAUGUCAACCUCAACAUCCACUAGUGUGCAAACAGGGCAAGAAUAUUUCAACUCAGAUUGCAUUGUCAUCGUCAUGCUCACAAUACUUGAUUAAAGCAUUCUCCUAGGGACCAUGAAAGUGGUUGCCCCAAGCUUGUUUUCCACUUCAACUUCGUUAUCUUCUGCCUUUCGAGUGUGAACUUGCCCCAAGUACGCUCCUGAGGGUGAAGUAUAAUUUAGGG
RNAcentral lists this long non-coding RNA (725 nucleotides) under Vigna radiata. RNAcentral's name for it is "long non-coding RNA (VRAD_LNC003045)". The record is from RNAcentral. Lineage: Eukaryota; Viridiplantae; Streptophyta; Magnoliopsida; Fabales; Fabaceae.